UUAAUAUCACCCGGAUCACUGCCUGUCUAUCAGGUGGAGUUCCGGGAGGAGUUGGAUGGUGCUGCAUUUUUCUUGCGGCUCCUCUUGAAAUGCAUUGGUGUCCCCUGUUUUUGGGCCCUGUGCUGGUGUGUAGUCAUCUGCAUCGCCAGUGGCCCUUGCUCUGUGGGUGAUGCUCGCAUAACUGCGUCGAGAGUCGCAGUUGCCUUUUUUG
RNAcentral lists this unclassified non-coding RNA (211 nucleotides) under uncultured Basidiomycota. RNAcentral describes it as "sequence contains ITS2". The record is from RNAcentral. Lineage: Eukaryota; Fungi; Basidiomycota.